RNAcentral lists this transfer RNA (73 nucleotides) under Pseudonocardia hydrocarbonoxydans. Its description in RNAcentral is "tRNA-Leu". Lineage: Bacteria; Bacillati; Actinomycetota; Actinomycetes; Pseudonocardiales; Pseudonocardiaceae. The record is from RNAcentral.
CAUCUUCUCGGCGAGGGCGUCGGCCGCGGCGUUCAGGGCGUCGCGGUCGUCGUGCAGCUCGGCGAGGAUGCCC